This 430-nucleotide long non-coding RNA is filed under the name Mytilus galloprovincialis (Mediterranean mussel). Lineage: Eukaryota; Metazoa; Mollusca; Bivalvia; Mytilida; Mytilidae. The record is from RNAcentral.
GGACGGACGAACGGAGCCACAGACCAGAAAACAUAAUGCCCCUCUACUAUCGUAGGUGGGGCAUAAAAAUCAAUACAUCUAGAUCUUUUAUAACUUGAUUGUGCUCAUUGUUGAUUACUUGAUCAAGUAAGUGCAUUUCUUUGGAAAAUUCAUCAAAUCUCGUUAUUGUACUGAAUGUCAAUUUUCUUUGUUGUCUUGUAUUUCCAUUUUAAUACUUCCUCUACUCUAUUCGGCCUUUUAAACAUUUUUUGAUUCGAGCGUUACUGAUGGGUCUUUUGUGGACGAAUCGUGCGUCUGGCAUAAAAAUAACAUUUUUAAUCCUGGUACCUAUGGAUAGUUUAUUAUACCCAUCGUCUUUGCUGGAUUCAAACAUGGUCAAUCAAUGAAAUAUUAAGAGACUUUCAAGAGGUUAAGCUAGCUAUAAAACCAU